AGAAAAGGCAGACCCAAAUAGCUUAUCUGAAUCUGAAUGACUUUUUCUCUACGAAUUUACAGCAUACAUCGUAUUUUUUCCUGUUGCCACUGCUAAGAAACAUUGAUUAAAUAGCCUCAUCUUUUUAACUGGGAAAUGAUAGAGCAGAUUGGAAAAGGAAUUUUGGAGCAAGUCUUCUGGGACAUGUCCUCAACUAGACCAUUUUUAAGCAGAUCAACUCCGGAUGCCUUCGCGGAUUUAACUUCCUUUCCCAGAAAAGGCAGCUGAUGUCUCUUGGACCUUCCACCUCUCUCUGCCCGUGGGACUGUCUACUCCACCCCCGUGUUGUCAAGUACAUCUCUAUACCAGCGGACACACCCUUUCCCCAUUAAACCCUUCCUUUCGAUGGGGCCCCGGGGCCAACCUGCCAGGUCAAAGGCGAGUGGAAUUCAACCUGGAUGAGACACCCUAUAUAUCAGUGGAUUCUCUUCAAUCCCCACACCACCCAGUAAAAAUUAAACAGAUGGGGUUGAUUCUUUGAAACUGGAGUUCCUGCGAGUGACGCCAUAGCAGCAACUGAAGCAAAUGGAAACAUUUUAG
This 579-nucleotide long non-coding RNA is filed under the name Ornithorhynchus anatinus (platypus). Its description in RNAcentral is "lncRNA (ENSOANG00000042664.1)". Lineage: Eukaryota; Metazoa; Chordata; Mammalia; Monotremata; Ornithorhynchidae. The record is from RNAcentral.